Molecule: ribosomal RNA, 484 nt
Filed under: uncultured bacterium
Lineage: Bacteria
Description: partial 16S ribosomal RNA
Rfam family: Bacterial small subunit ribosomal RNA
Source: RNAcentral
AUUGAACGCUGGCGGCAUGCUUUACACAUGCAAGUCGAACGGCAGCGCGGGCUUCGGCCUGGCGGCGAGUGGCGAACGGGUGAGUAAUACAUCGGAACGUGCCCAGUAGUGGGGGAUAGCUCGGCGAAAUCCGGAUUAAUACCGCAUACGACCUGAGGGUGAAAGCGGGGGAUCUUCGGACCUCGCGCUAUUGGAGCGGCCGAUGGCAGAUUAGCUAGUUGGUGGGGUAAAGGCCUACCAAGGCGACGAUCUGUAGCUGGUCUGAGAGGACGACCAGCCACACUGGGACUGAGACACGGCCCAGACUCCUACGGGAGGCAGCGGUGGGGAAUGUUGGACAAUGGGCGAAAGCCUGAUCCAGCAAUGCCGCGUGUGUGAUGAAGGCCUUCGGGUUGUAAAGCACUUUUGGCGGGAACGAAAAGGACUGUGCCAAUACCACGGUUCGAUGACGGUACCCGCAGAAUAAGCACCGGCUAACUACGUG